GCAAUAUUCCUCCCUCUGUAGAUCCAUCAACACAACCAAAUCCAAUUUCCUUCACCCCACGAUGCGUCAUUAAUGUUAAGGAAACCCAUCACCAACAGUCUAACAAUGGCAGGACUGUUGGUGUUCUUAUUCCACCAAACACAGAGCAAAAAAAAUAAAACAAUAAUUAUCAGCUUACAAGAUCACCAUCCCAUCAAAGAAAGGGAAAACUCGAAAACCAGAGAGGGGAAGAACAAGAAACAACAAAGGAGAGAGAGGUUCGGGGUUCCAUCCAUCAGGAUCCAACAAAAACAAACAAACACUCAUCUCUCACAAAAAAUUCAUUGUUGAUUAAUCUGUGCUUUACCAAGAACUAGUGCUUUCCAGGAAGAAGCCACAACAAGACAAAAGUCUCAUAAAGAUUAAAGAGUAGAGGAUGGGAGAAAAAAUCAACACGGAGAGCAAAGUGAGAUAAUGAGAGAAUGAGAUAUGCAGAGAAGAUUGUUGGGGGGCGGCUUAUGUUACUUUAGGGUUAGGAAAUAUUCUAUUUAUAGUUGGUUUUUUUUUUUUAAGUGCUGGUUAGUUAAACCGGUUCGGUUCAAUCAGUUUCAGACUUUAGAAACCGAAACCGAACCGAACCGGAAUUUUUUUGUGAUUUUUUAAU
RNAcentral lists this long non-coding RNA (643 nucleotides) under Populus tremula. RNAcentral describes it as "long non-coding RNA (PTRE_LNC003026)". The record is from RNAcentral. Lineage: Eukaryota; Viridiplantae; Streptophyta; Magnoliopsida; Malpighiales; Salicaceae.